GACGAACGCUGGCGGCGUGCUUAACACAUGCAAGUCGAACGAGGUCCAACCAGUGGCAACACUGGAGAAGACCUAGUGGCGAACGGGUGAGUAACACGUGAGAAACCUUCCCCGAAGACUGGGAUAAGCCCUCGAAAGGGGGUCUAAUACCGGAUGUCCUCUUCACGUCGCAUGGCGAGAGGAGGAAAUGGUCCGCCGCUUCGGGACGGUCUCGCGGCCUAUCAGCUUGUUGGUGAGGUAACGGCUCACCAAGGCAACGACGGGUAGCUGGUCUGAGAGGACGAUCAGCCACACUGGGACUGAGACACGGCCCAGACUCCUACGGGAGGCAGCAGUGGGGAAUCUUGCGCAAUGGGCGAAAGCCUGACGCAGCAACGCCGCGUGCGGGA
Molecule: ribosomal RNA, 389 nt
Filed under: uncultured bacterium
Lineage: Bacteria
Description: bacterial SSU rRNA
Rfam family: Bacterial small subunit ribosomal RNA
Source: RNAcentral